This 78-nucleotide transfer RNA is filed under the name Gammaproteobacteria bacterium. RNAcentral describes it as "tRNA-Met". It matches the Rfam family "tRNA". Rfam says of the family: Transfer RNA (tRNA) molecules are approximately 80 nucleotides in length. Their secondary structure includes four short double-helical elements and three loops (D, anti-codon, and T loops). The record is from RNAcentral. Lineage: Bacteria; Pseudomonadati; Pseudomonadota; Gammaproteobacteria. RNAcentral also lists the same sequence under 1 other name.
UGGCGGUGUGGCGCAGCCUGGUAGCGCGUCGGGUUCAUACCCCGAAGGUCUCUGGUUCGAAUCCAGACACCGCAACCA